GCUUCGCUUCCGUGGAAGAGGAGUAGAAGUGAGAGUGUGGCGAUGGAGAGAAGAGAAAAUAUAAGCUUAUGCAUUUUUUUUUCUCUCUUUACUUUGUAUAAGAGACUUGAGUAGGAAGAUGGUUUUUAAAGGAGGUGGUUGAUGUUUUACUACGGUUGCAUUGCAUUUGCACUCAAACAGUAUAUAUUUAAAGCUCUUACUAGUAUAUAUUUUUGAAUUUAGAUUAUGAGUAGAUUUAAUUAUUAUGAAAUUUCUUUCUCAAAGUAAAUUUAAGUUUGUAUUUUUGAGUAAAAUAGUAUGGUAGCACAUAUAUCUUAAGCUAACGUACAACGUAGGAUCGUAAAUUAAUCAAUUUAUUCAAGGUUAAAAAUGGAUACUCAAAUACUGACACAUUGUGACAUGAAGAGCCACAGGAGUCGCAUUGCAUGGCAAUGUCACAGUUUGCAUUUUAACACAUCAUAUUGUCAUAUAUGCCAAGUGUCCACACGCACAUUCAAUGUAUAUGAAAUGAAAUUAAGAACAUAUAUAUGCCUUACUUAUUAGAAUUAAUAAGAAAUCUUCUAUGCUCAAUUUAUCAAAUUAUACAAGAUAGAAAGAUGAGUUAAAAUCGUUUUUUUCAAAUAGUUUUUUUAAUUGGACGUUGAAACAAAAUUACAACCCAAUUGACAUAAAGUUAUAAUCUUCUUGAUUACCAAAAAAAAAAAGGUUAUAAUCUUCAAACCAUGUGUAUCUGUUUUUUUUACUGCUGGAGUUAAAAAAAACUCAUGCUGACACUCACAUGUGUCUGUGACAAAAAGAAAAGACUAAAUUAUAUAAUGGGCCUAAUGCAGCAUACGUUUAUUAAUGGGCCUGGGCGAUUCGACCCGAAUUAACCAGAAGAUAGAUAUAGUUUAUGAUAUAUCAGGAGUUUAUUCGUCGUUUUGUCAAUUGUCAAUUCUCAAUUCUAAAACCCUAAGCUUCGCCGAUCAUCUCCGAUCCUUUCCUAAACCCAGAGCUGAGCUAAGGUGCCUUUGUCUCUCUCUCUAGCUCCUCCAUUUUUACUGUGUUUAAUGGUGCUCUCUGUUUGGGUGCCGAUAAAACUUUUACGAUGUGCCUGAUCGUUGUUCAGUUUGAUAAAUCCUUGCGUGAUUUUAGGCAUAGAUCGUCGAUCUAUUUCUCGUUUCAAAGGCUUACUCGUUGUAUUUUGUUCGUUUGAAUCGAUCCGUGGUAAACUGAUUUAACUCGAUAAUGGUCAAAGGCUCGAUCGAUUUGAGCAUUCAGUUUCUGGAAUUUUUUUAUAUGUGAUCGUUUCGAGUUCACGUUUUCUAUUGCUGCGUUGAGGUUAUUGGAUAUUUGGAGAAGGAUUCGAUCUCAGAAACGUUGGUUUGUUGUUUCAUGUAAACUGUUUCUCUUUGUGUAAUCUCAUUGCCGUGUUGAUUGUUUGUUGUAGAUCUUAAAGAAAUGAGUUUCAAGAAAGUGCCCAACGUCCCUGGAUCUCCUGCUCUCUCUGCCCUUCUUAAGGUCAGCGUUAUCGGUGGCCUCGGUGUCUACGCCAUUAGCAAUAGCUUGUACAAUGUCGAGGGUGGUCACCGUGCUGUCAUGUUCAACCGAUUAACUGGUGUCAAGGAAAAGGUUUUGUAUUAUUCCUCCAACGAACACAUUAGUCUAUUAAUAGUUACUUUGGAAAAAAAAUGUGAGUUUUUUACUCUCGGAUUUGGAUUUUUAAGGUUUACCCGGAAGGAACGCAUUUCAUGUUGCCGUGGUUUGAGAGGCCAAUCAUCUAUGACGUCCGUGCACGACCCUAUCUUGUGGAGAGCACCACCGGUAGUCAUGACCUUCAGAUGGUAUGCGUUCUGUUGUUUCUUGUUGCGUUCUGUUGUGUUUUUGUAAUAUUAUACAUGCCAUGCUUUAGUUUCAAAUGCUGUUCUGGAUCAUGCUAGACAUUCCUUCUUUUGAGCUUAUGCUGAGAUUCUUAAAUGCAGCAUGAGGACAAUGUUUUUAAGUUUAGAUAUAUGGUUUUAUGACAAUGGAGCUGUAGAAUAUGUUUCAUUUGCCCUGUUAGCAUAUUAUGUGAUUAGUGUAUAUCCCUUAUAUGAUCUGUGUGAGUGUAUGGAUAAUGGUUUUGAAAAGAGAUGGGAAAAAAAAUCUGAUUAUAUAUCUUCUCAUUCUCCUUUGUUUCUAUCUAUCGGAGUUUGGGGCUAUGAGACGACAAAUCAUAUCAUGCUUUCUUUAGGAAGAGAUUACAUUAAAGCUGGAACAGAAAAUAACUUGGUGUUGCUGUGUGUCUGAUAUUUUUCUUUGUUGUUGCUCAGGUGAAAAUUGGACUCAGGGUUCUCACACGUCCCAUGGGUGACCGUUUGCCUCAUAUUUACCGAACCCUAGGCGAGAAUUACAGUGAAAGGGUUCUUCCUUCCAUCAUCCAUGAAACUCUAAAAGCUAUAGUAGCUCAGUACAAUGCAAGCCAGCUCAUCACUCAGAGAGAGGUAUAUAUCUCAACAUUCUUCUUCUGCAAUCUUAGCUCGUGUACUGAAAAAGUCGCUACGUUCUGGAUCGUCUAUAUUCUCGUGCAGCCUCGCCGUGCAAUACGUCUCUUCAAUGCCAUUACCAUUCCCAUCUUGUUGCCAUUGACGUGACGGGGAGCUGAUGAAAUGUAGCGGACCGUUUGCUCGGACUAUGUUUCCUCUGUUGUCUUUCUGGUUCUGUAGUUUCUUAGCUGUCUCGAUGUCGAUCUUGAAUGCUUCUGCGAUUAUGUUCGGGUCGAUACCGCUGAAAGCGUUUUUGCCUGAUGGCCAAGUCAGUGGUUGUUGUUGUUGUUUUUGCGUCCUACUCCCUGCUAUUUGGAACAUCUACAAAUGUGUGGUUCAUAUGAUUUAUUAUUGUAGUAACCAUAUUGAUAGCAUGCAAUGAAAAAUUUAGAGUUUCUUGAAUAGUUACCCUAGGGACUUGGUCAAGCUGGUUUUCUCUGUUGGUAACAUCAAGAACGAUCACGAUGACGACGUCGGAAUUGCCGCGGUUGUACCACCACUGUGAAACGCCGGCAAGCGAAGCAAACACAUCUCCUCGCCGGAAAUCCUCCAGCUUCUGGUGCAUGUCCUCAAAACGUCGAUGCAUGUCUCCUCCUACUCCUCCUCCAGCUUCUUCAUAAGUCUCAGGACAGCCAGAAGCAAUUGUCCCCAUCACUCCUUCUCCUGUAAACAAUAAUUAAAAAAAAAAAACUAAACUCUAUUAAUUUUCCUCACAAGAAUAAUUUAUACUAGAAGAAAUACCUUGGACAACGUAAGCGAGGGAAGGUGGGCUAAAGAAAGAGGGCAAGAAAAUGGAAUUGGCUUGAAGAGUGAUGCGAGCUACGGUCACACCAGCGCACUGGAGCUCGUUGCUUGUGUGAUCCCAUACUUCCAUCUGCCCGGCUUCGAACUUAGUCGCAUGAGCCGGGCUGAGGCUGUUGAUCUGGCUGAAAUGGCAUGCGUUGGGCAACGGAAGCUCUCGCUGGCGUGCUUCGCUUCCGUGGAAGAGGAGUAGAAGUGAGAGUGUGGCGAUGGAGAGAAGAGAAAAUAUAAGCUUAUGCAUUUUUUUUUCUCUCUUUACUUUGUAUAAGAGACUUGAGUAGGAAGAUGGUUUUUAAAGGAGGUGGUUGAUGUUUUACUACGGUUGCAUUGCAUUUGCACUCAAACAGUAUAUAUUUAAAGCUCUUACUAGUAUAUAUUUUUGAAUUUAGAUUAUGAGUAGAUUUAAUUAUUAUGAAAUUUCUU
RNAcentral lists this long non-coding RNA (3728 nucleotides) under Brassica napus (rape). RNAcentral's name for it is "long non-coding RNA (BNAP_LNC022363)". The record is from RNAcentral. Lineage: Eukaryota; Viridiplantae; Streptophyta; Magnoliopsida; Brassicales; Brassicaceae.